UGGGGAAUAUUGGACAAUGGGCGAAAGCCUGAUCCAGCCAUGCCGCGUGUGUGAAGAAGGUCUUCGGAUUGUAAAGCACUUUAAGUUGGGAGGAAGGGCACUUACCUAAUACGUAUCUGUUUUGACGUUACCGACAGAAUAAGCACCGGCUAACUCUGUGCCAGCAGCCGCGGUAAUACAGAGGGUGCAAGCGUUAAUCGGAAUUACUGGGCGUAAAGCGCGCGUAGGUGGUUUGUUAAGUUGGAUGUGAAAUCCCCGGGCUCAACCUGGGAACUGCAUUCAAAACUGACAAGCUAGAGUAUGGUAGAGGGUGGUGGAAUUUCCUGUGUAGCGGUGAAAUGCGUAGAUAUAGGAAGGAACACCAGUGGCGAAGGCGACCACCUGGACUGAUACUGACACUGAGGUGCGAAAGCGUGGGGAGCAAACAGGAUUAGAUACCCAAGUAGUCCCUGAGCGGGCUGGCAAGGCGCAU
Molecule: ribosomal RNA, 472 nt
Filed under: uncultured bacterium
Lineage: Bacteria
Description: bacterial SSU rRNA
Rfam family: Bacterial small subunit ribosomal RNA
Source: RNAcentral